RNAcentral lists this ribosomal RNA (253 nucleotides) under uncultured bacterium. RNAcentral describes it as "partial 16S ribosomal RNA". It matches the Rfam family "Bacterial small subunit ribosomal RNA", at positions 524 to 776 of the family's 1533-position model. The record is from RNAcentral.
UACGUAGGUGGCAAGCGUUGUCCGGAUUUAUUGGGUUUAAAGGGUGCGUAGGCGGUUUUAUAAGUCAGUGGUGAAAUACAAUAGCUUAACUAUUGAGGUGCCAUUGAUACUGUAAGACUUGAGUACAGACGAGGUAGGCGGAAUUGACGGUGUAGCGGUGAAAUGCCUAGAUAUCGUCAAGAACACCGAUAGCGAAGGCAGCUUACUAGACUGUAACUGACACUGAGGCACGAAAGUGUGGGGAUCAAACAGG